Gorilla gorilla gorilla (western lowland gorilla) is the source of this 102-nucleotide microRNA precursor. The record is from Ensembl. Lineage: Eukaryota; Metazoa; Chordata; Mammalia; Primates; Hominidae.
UCUGUCCAUUAGGUGGGUGCAAAAGUAAUCGCGGUUUUUGUCAUUACUUUUAAUGGCAAAAACUGGAAUUACUUUUGCACUGACCUAAUAUUAAGCCAGAUA